AUUGAACGCUGGCGGCAGGCCUAACACAUGCAAGUCGAGCGGAUGAAGGGAGCUUGCUCCUGGAUUCAGCGGCGGACGGGUGAGUAAUGCCUAGGAAUCUGCCUGGUAGUGGGGGAUAACGUCCGGAAACGGGCGCUAAUACCGCAUACGUCCUGAGGGAGAAAGUGGGGGAUCUUCGGACCUCACGCUAUCAGAUGAGCCUAGGUCGGAUUAGCUAGUUGGUGGGGUAAAGGCCUACCAAGGCGACGAUCCGUAACUGGUCUGAGAGGAUGAUCAGUCACACUGGAACUGAGACACGGUCCAGCCUCCUACGGGAGGCAGCAGUGGGGAAUAUUGGACAAUGGGCGAAAGCCUGAUCCAGCCAUGCCGCGUGUGUGAAGAAGGUCUUCGGAUUGUAAAGCACUUUAAGUUGGGAGGAAGGGCAGUAAGUUAAUACCUUGCUGUUUUGACGUUACCAACAGAAUAAGCACCGGCGAACUUCGU
This 483-nucleotide ribosomal RNA is filed under the name uncultured bacterium. Its description in RNAcentral is "partial 16S ribosomal RNA". It matches the Rfam family "Bacterial small subunit ribosomal RNA", at positions 30 to 506 of the family's 1533-position model. The record is from RNAcentral.